This 562-nucleotide ribosomal RNA is filed under the name uncultured eukaryote. RNAcentral's name for it is "SSU rRNA". It matches the Rfam family "Eukaryotic small subunit ribosomal RNA", at positions 1 to 566 of the family's 1831-position model. The record is from RNAcentral.
UCUGGUUGAUCCUGCCAGUAGUCAUAUGCUUGUCUCAAAGAUUAAGCCAUGCAUGUCUAAGUAUAAGCAGUUUAUACAGUGAAACUGCGAAUGGCUCAUUAAAUCAGUUAUCGUUUAUUUGAUAGUUCCUUUACUACAUGGUAUAACUGUGGUAAUUCUAGAGCUAAUACAUGCUUAAAAUCUCGACCCUUUGGAAGAGAUGUAUUUAUUAGAUAAAAAAUCAAUGUCUUCGGACUCUUUGAUGAUUCAUAAUAACUUUUCGAAUCGCAUGGCCUUGUGCUGGCGAUGGUUCAUUCAAAUUUCUGCCCUAUCAACUUUCGAUGGUAGGAUAGUGGCCUACCAUGGUUUCAACGGGUAACGGGGAAUAAGGGUUCGAUUCCGGAGAGGGAGCCUGAGAAACGGCUACCACAUCCAAGGAAGGCAGCAGGCGCGCAAAUUACCCAAUCCUAAUUCAGGGAGGUAGUGACAAUAAAUAACGAUACAGGGCCCAUUCGGGUCUUGUAAUUGGAAUGAGUACAAUGUAAAUACCUUAACGAGGAACAAUUGGAGGGCAAGUCUGGUA